AGAGUUUGAUCCUGGCUCAGAUUGAACGCUGGCGGUAACUUUUAAACAUGCAAGUCGAGCGGUAACAGACAUAAAGAUUCAGCUUGCUGAAUCCGGUGCUGACGAGCGGCGAACGGGUGAGUAACGCGUAGGAAUCUACCCAGUAGCGGGGAAUAGCCCGAGGAAACUCGGAUUAAUACCGCAUACGCCCUGAGGGGGAAAGGGGGCAGUUUACUGCUCUCACUAUUGGAUGAGCCUGCGUAAGAUUAGCUUGUUGGUAGGGUAAUGGCCUACCAAGGCGACGAUCUUUAGCUGGUCUGAGAGGACGAUCAGCCACAUUGGGACUGAGACACGGCCCAGACAUCUACGGAUGGCAGCAGUUAAGAAUAUUGGACAAUGGGGGCAACCCUGAUCCAGGUAUACCGCGUGUGUGAAGAAGGCCCUAGGGUUGUAAAGCACUUUAAUCAGAGAAGAAGCAUUUUAAGUUAAUACCUUAAUAUGUUGACGUUACCUGAAGAAUAAGGACCGGCUAACUCCGUGCCAGCCGCCGCGGU
RNAcentral lists this ribosomal RNA (533 nucleotides) under uncultured bacterium. RNAcentral describes it as "bacterial SSU rRNA". It matches the Rfam family "Bacterial small subunit ribosomal RNA", at positions 8 to 521 of the family's 1533-position model. The record is from RNAcentral.